CCUACGGGAGGCAGCAGUGGGGAAUAUUGGACAAUGGGGGCAACCCUGAUCCAGCGACGCCGCGUGUGUGAAGAAGGCCUGCGGGUUGUAAAGCACUUUUAGUGGGGACAAAAAGCCACGGGCUAAUACCUUGUGGUCUUGAUUUAACCCCAAAGAAAAAGCACCGGCUAACUCUGUGCCAGCAGCCGCGGUAAUACAGAGGGUGCGAGCGUUAAUCGGAAUUACUGGGCGUAAAGCGUGCGUAGACGGUUUCGUAAGUCGGGUGUGAAAGCCCCGGGCUCAACCUGGGAAUUGCAUUCGAAACUGCGAGGCUAGGGUACGGAAGAGGGAAGCGGAAUUUCUGGUGUAGCGGUGAAAUGCGUAGAUAUCAGAAGGAACAUCAGUGGCGAAGGCGGCUUCCUGGUCCAGUACCGACGUUCAGGCACGAAAGCGUGGGGAGCAAACAGGAUUAGAUACCCUGGUAGUCCACGCCUUAAACGAUGAGAACUAGACGUUGGGAGGGUUAGCCUCCCACGUGUCGUAGCUACGACGCUAGUUCUCCGUCCGUGGGUAGGUACGGCCGCGAGGUUAGAACGUACAAGGAAGUUAGACGGCGUGAGACGUGCCGAACGGACGACGACGAGGGAGUAGG
Molecule: ribosomal RNA, 631 nt
Filed under: uncultured bacterium
Lineage: Bacteria
Description: bacterial SSU rRNA
Rfam family: Bacterial small subunit ribosomal RNA (bases 1-544)
Source: RNAcentral